This 1988-nucleotide ribosomal RNA is filed under the name Vannella primoblina. Its description in RNAcentral is "SSU rRNA". It matches the Rfam family "Eukaryotic small subunit ribosomal RNA". The record is from RNAcentral. Lineage: Eukaryota; Discosea; Flabellinia; Vannellidae.
UACCUGGUUGAUCCUGCCAGUACUAUAUGCUUGUUUCAAAGGCUAAGCCAUGCAAGUGUAAGUUUAAAUGAAAUUUAAUAGUAAAACUGCGAAUGGCUCAUUAUAUCAGUUAUAGUUUAUUUGAUAAAUUUUAUAAUUUUUAUAGGUUAUAAUUACAUGGAUAACUGUAGUAACAUAGAGCUAAUACAUGCAUAAAUACUCAACUAUUAUGGAAGAGUAUGCACUUAUUAGAAAUAUUAAAUCAAUAGCUUAGCAAUAAGUUUUCUAAAAUGAUUUAUAAUAACUGAACAAAUCGUAUAAUCUUGUAUUGACGAUAUAUCAUUCAAAUUUCUGCCCUAUCAACUUGUAGUUAGUAUAGCGGACUAACUAGGUAAUAACGGGUAACGGAGAAUUAGGGUUUGAUUCCGGAGAAGGAGCAUGAGAAACGGCUACUAUUUCUAAGGAAAGCAGCAGGCGCGCAAAUUAUUCAAUGAGAACAAAUUCUCGAAAUAGUGACAAAAAAUAACAAUAUAAUAUCUUUUAAAGAUCUUAUAAUUGGAAUGAGUACAAUUUAAAUCCCUUAAUGAGUAACAAUUAGAGGGCAAGUCUGGUGCCAGCAGCCGCGGUAAUUCCAGCUCUAAUAGCGUAUAUUAAUAUUGUUGCAGUUAAAAAGCUCGUAGUUGAAUAUUAAAUUAUAUUAUUGAUUAUUAUAUUGAUUUAUAAUAGUUAUAAUUAAUUUUUCCUACUAAGAUUCAAUAUUUUUCUUAAUUGAAUAAUAUUAUUACUUUCGGGUAGUUGAUUGAUAUUAAAAAUUCCAUAUAAUGGUAUGCAGACUUAAACCUCUAAGUAUUAUUAUUUUGGAUCAAAAUUUUUAAUGUUAAUUAGAAUUUUAGUUCAUUUACUUUGAGAAAAUUAGAGUGUUUAAAUCAGUCUCUUUGGACUUUAAAUAUAAUUAGCAUGGGAUAAUAAAAUAAGAUUUAGUAUUAUUUUGUUGGUUUUUAUAAUAUUAAAUAAUGAUUAAUAGGGAUAGUUGGGGGUAUUUAUAUUAGACGGUUAGCGGUGAAAUGCUCAGAUCCGUUUAAGAUAAACUAAAGCGAAAGCAUUUACCAAGGAUGUUUUCAUUAAUCAAGAACGAAAGUUAAGGGAUCGAAGACGAUCAGAUACCGUCGUAGUCUUAACUAUAAACUAUGCCGACUAGGGAUGUGAGAAGUUAAUUUAAAUUAGAUAUUUAUAUAUUUAAUUAUAUCCUCUUAUGCACCUUGUGAGAAAUCAUAAGUUAUUAGGUUCUGGGGGAAGUAUGGUCGCAAGUCUGAAACUUAAAGGAAUUGACGGAGGGGCACCACCAGGAGUGGAGCGUGCGGCUUAAUUUGACUCAACACGGGAAAACUUACCAGGUCCAGACAUUAUUAGGAUUGACAGAUUGAGAGCUCUUUCAUGAUUUAAUGGGUGGUGGUGCAUGGCCGUUCUUAGUUGGUGGAGUGAUUUGUCUGGUUAAUUCCGAUAACGAACGAGACCUUUACCAGUUAAAUAGUAAUGUUUAUAUAGUAAUAUAUAAAUAGAAUAACUUCUUAGAGGGACUAUUGAUCAAAAAAUCAAAGGAAGUAAAGGCGAUAACAGGUCUGUGAUGCCCUUAGAUGUUCUGGGCUGCACGCGCGCUACAAUGAUAUAUUCAAAAAGUUUUCAAAAUAUUUUAUAUUUUGUAUUACUUAAUCGGAAGGUUUGGUUAAUCUUUUAAACGUAUAUCGUGCUUGGGAUAGAUAAUUGUAAUUAUUUAUCUUGAACCAGGAAUUCCUAGUAAUCAUAACUCAUCAGGUUAUGAUGAUUACGUCCCUGCCCCUUGUACACACCGCCCGUCGCUGCUACCGAUUGGAUGAUCCGGUGAAAUCUACAGAUUAUAUUAAUUAUUUAAUGCAAGUUAAACUUUAAUUAAAGAAGUUGAUUAAACCUUAUUAUCUAGAGGAAGCAAAAGUCGUAACAAGGUUUCCGUAGGUGAACCUGCGGAAGGAUCA